AUUGAACGCUGGCGGCAGGCCUAACACAUGCAAGUCGAACGAGUGGCGGACGGGUGAGUAAUGUCUGGGAAACUGCCUGAUGGAGGGGGAUAACUACUGGAAACGGUAGCUAAUACCGCAUACCAUCGGAUGUGCCCAGAUGUGAUUAUCUAGUAGGUGGGGUAAAGGCUCACCUAGGCGACGAGCCCUAGCUGGUCUGAGAGGAUGACCAGCCACACUGUAACUGAGACACGGUCCAGACUCCUACGUGAGGCAGCAGUGGGGAAUAUUGCACAAUGGGCGCAAGCCUGAUGCAGCCAUGCCGCGUGUGUGAAGAAGGCCUUCGGGUUGUAAAGCACUUUCAGCGGGGAGGCGUUAAACGCAGAAGAAGCACAGGCUAACUCCGUGCCAGCCGCCGCGGUAAUAG
This 406-nucleotide ribosomal RNA is filed under the name uncultured bacterium. Its description in RNAcentral is "partial 16S ribosomal RNA". It matches the Rfam family "Bacterial small subunit ribosomal RNA", at positions 30 to 526 of the family's 1533-position model. The record is from RNAcentral.